RNAcentral lists this ribosomal RNA (793 nucleotides) under Lacticaseibacillus rhamnosus. RNAcentral's name for it is "bacterial SSU rRNA". It matches the Rfam family "Bacterial small subunit ribosomal RNA", at positions 87 to 865 of the family's 1533-position model. Lineage: Bacteria; Bacillati; Bacillota; Bacilli; Lactobacillales; Lactobacillaceae. The record is from RNAcentral.
UUGAACGAGUGGCGGACGGGUGAGUAACACGUGGGUAACCUGCCCUUAAGUGGGGGAUAACAUUUGGAAACAGAUGCUAAUACCGCAUAAAUCCAAGAACCGCAUGGUUCUUGGCUGAAAGAUGGCGUAAGCUAUCGCUUUUGGAUGGACCCGCGGCGUAUUAGCUAGUUGGUGAGGUAACGGCUCACCAAGGCAAUGAUACGUAGCCGAACUGAGAGGUUGAUCGGCCACAUUGGGACUGAGACACGGCCCAAACUCCUACGGGAGGCAGCAGUAGGGAAUCUUCCACAAUGGACGCAAGUCUGAUGGAGCAACGCCGCGUGAGUGAAGAAGGCUUUCGGGUCGUAAAACUCUGUUGUUGGAGAAGAAUGGUCGGCAGAGUAACUGUUGUCGGCGUGACGGUAUCCAACCAGAAAGCCACGGCUAACUACGUGCCAGCAGCCGCGGUAAUACGUAGGUGGCAAGCGUUAUCCGGAUUUAUUGGGCGUAAAGCGAGCGCAGGCGGUUUUUUAAGUCUGAUGUGAAAGCCCUCGGCUUAACCGAGGAAGUGCAUCGGAAACUGGGAAACUUGAGUGCAGAAGAGGACAGUGGAACUCCAUGUGUAGCGGUGAAAUGCGUAGAUAUAUGGAAGAACACCAGUGGCGAAGGCGGCUGUCUGGUCUGUAACUGACGCUGAGGCUCGAAAGCAUGGGUAGCGAACAGGAUUAGAUACCCUGGUAGUCCAUGCCGUAAACGAUGAAUGCUAGGUGUUGGAGGGUUUCCGCCCUUCAGUGCCGCAGCUAACGCAUUAAGC